GGUGGCUCAGUGGUAGAGUGCUUGCCUUGAAUGCACGAGGCCCUGGGUUCAAUUCCUCAGCACCA
RNAcentral lists this transfer RNA (65 nucleotides) under Dipodomys ordii (Ord's kangaroo rat). It matches the Rfam family "tRNA". From Rfam's summary of the family: Transfer RNA (tRNA) molecules are approximately 80 nucleotides in length. Their secondary structure includes four short double-helical elements and three loops (D, anti-codon, and T loops). The record is from Rfam by way of RNAcentral. Lineage: Eukaryota; Metazoa; Chordata; Mammalia; Rodentia; Heteromyidae.